RNAcentral lists this ribosomal RNA (520 nucleotides) under uncultured Glomus. Its description in RNAcentral is "SSU rRNA". It matches the Rfam family "Eukaryotic small subunit ribosomal RNA", at positions 569 to 1092 of the family's 1831-position model. The record is from RNAcentral. Lineage: Eukaryota; Fungi; Glomeromycota; Glomeromycetes; Glomerales; Glomeraceae.
AGCAGCCGCGGUAAUUCCAGCUCCAGUAGCGUAUAUUAAAGUUGUUGCAGUUAAAAAGCUCGUAGUUGAAUUUCGAGACCGGUUUAUUGGUCGUGCUUUUGUACGUACUGGUAUUAUUGGUUUCUCCUUUCUGACGAAUCUUAAUGCCAUUAAUUUGGUGUUUUGGGGAAUCAGGACUGUUACUUUGAAAAAAUUAGAGUGUUUAAAGCAGGCUCACGCUUGAAUACAUUAGCAUGGAAUAACGGAAUAGGACGUUUGAUUCUAUUUUGUUGGUUUCUAGGAUCGACGUAAUGAUUAAUAGGGAUAGUUGGGGGCAUUAGUAUUCAAUUGUCAGAGGUGAAAUUCUCGGAUUUAUUGAAGACUAACUACUGCGAAAGCAUUUGCCAAGGAUGUUUUCAUUAAUCAAGAACGAAAGUUAGGGGAUCGAAGACGAUCAGAUACCGUCGUAGUCUUAACCAUAAACUAUGCCGACUAGGGAUCGGAUGAUGUUAAUUUUUAAUGACUCAUUCGGCGCCUUACG